Molecule: long non-coding RNA, 3229 nt
Organism: Camelus dromedarius (Arabian camel)
Lineage: Eukaryota; Metazoa; Chordata; Mammalia; Artiodactyla; Camelidae
Exons: 4
Source: RefSeq, a predicted model, not a curated record
UGAAUCAACCUACUCUUCCCACAGAGCUCCCCUGGCUUCUAGAAAGGGCCCCAGCCAAGGAGCCUCUCAGGAGAGCAGAGUGAGGGGUGUGUGUGUGUGUGUGUGUGUGUGUGUAUGUGUGUGUGUGCCAGGGAGGGACAGAACCCAGCAUGACACAGACAGAGAAGAAUCUGUGUGAGAGCGAAUGAGACCGUUGGUCUCGAUUUUCCUUCUCCUCCUCCUCUGCUCUCUGCCCAGUGACUGUCACAGGGCCCGCUUUUCAGUACCUGCUCAGGACAUGUUUACUGAGCAAAUGAAUAAACCAGGGCCUGACAUUCUAGUACGCAGAGGUAUAUUAGGCCCAGCAAGAAGCAUGUUAGGGGUUCAGGACCCUCUGCCCCAUUUUCCCUCCAGGGUCUAACCGAUGAGGCUUGUACACAUGGGCCAUGGUUCCAAGAAGGCCAAGUCUUAGCACAUCCCAGGCCAGCUGAGCACCUGGCACCCUGGGGAGCAGGGAGCGGGGCCCCCACACCCGAGCACAAGAAGUGAGAGGCAGGGGUCACUGGCGAGCGCCACGGCUCAGGGAGGCUCUGCCCUGCCCAGGCGGGAUCCAGCCCAGGACGGCGGGCUCGCCACUUACAUCAGCAGCUUGUCGGAAGCCCCCUCCGCAGCUCGCUUCUGGCGCGGGGCAGGAGAGGCCCCCCACUCCCCAGGAGCAGGUGGGGAAGGGAGAGGAGGGGAGAAGUUCCUUCUCCUGCAGCUUCGCCUUUGAAACCCGAGUCCACCUCCCUCCCCUGGGACCACUGCUGUUUUAGGAGAAACGGGCACAACUGGACGAGAGUCUGCUGGUCACCUGGCUGAGGUGGGCUACCGACAGUAACCAAGGGCUCUUUACAGCCACUUCCAUGUCCAGGGUCGCACAGGGGUGCCCCGUCAACCAGCGGAGCAGGUGUCUCAUUCCUGUCUUACAGGUGGGGCCGCAUUUCUCCAGGAAGACUGCGGGAGCUUGCACCACACAGCCGGCAGCCCGGGGCUGAGGGCAGGCUGCCACGCACAGCUGGGGAAUGACAGUGAUGCCUGGACGGCCUUCUGCGCGCACCGUACUUCCAGAAGCUGAUGUCUAGAAGGGAGCUCCUGCCUUGAGCAAAGCAGAGUGCGAGGCACUUGGUGGAGGGAGCAAGCCUGACCUCAGCGAAGGGCGAGGCCAGGGGAGACGCAGGGCGGCGGGGCCGGCUGGGUGGUAAGCACGGAUCAAGCAGAAGAAAAGGCUUCCCCAGCCUCCCGACGAGCCGCCCCGCGAGUCCCGGGGAGGCGCCUGCUGAGAAUCUCCCGCGGACCCCGAAAUGGAGUCGCAGAGAAGGGCUGGGGCGCAGGAAGGAGGAAGACUUGAAGGAAGGGCUGAGGAGUUUCUGUAGACAUCUGAAAAUUUGGAGACUUUCUCCCGUGCAUCCUCAUCAUAGAAAGUAGAAAGGAACAGGGGAAGAAAGGGAGAGAAGCCAAGUGUAGAAGGAGGAGAGUUGAAGAGAUCACUCAUUAGUCCCGGACCCUAAUUCAGCCUCUGCUUAUGGAGUGUCUGCUGCGUGGAAGCUGUGUCCUGGCUGGGACCGGCCUCCCCACUCACCUGAAGGCCACCCCGACACGAAGACCGUGGUUCCGAUGCUCAGUCCUCCGGUACCUACCUGUGUCACUCUAUUCUGAAACACUGCAACCUUGGUACUUUGGGUGGUUAAAUACCAUCAUGUAGGCAUUUUAAAAAAACUUGCCACGUGCUACGCUGGGCACCUCUCCUCUACCUGGUGACCAGGGGAUUCAUCUCCUGCUGUCUUAACAGGCACCUAGAGGCAUGUGCUGCACCGAACAUUCCUCGUCGAGCAAAGGAGUGCGCUUUUAACAAGUGGUUCUGACCACAUCUCCACUAUGUUUCAUCUAAUCCAAGACACACUGUGCUGUUAUGCACCGUGGAAGGGAAGAGCACUGCUCUUCUAGGCCCCUAGUUAUCCAGUGAUACACUGCUGACUGUGGGACGCACCCUGGUUCCCAAACCGUGAGAAUGUGGAAGAAAAGAAACACGUUUCACAGACGAUAGUAGUUUAGACCUUCCUCCAACACGUUGUUUUCUUUCUCGUUCCUUGGCUUCCUUGGGAAGGUGAAUGCAUUUUCUUGGGUCUGUUGACCGUUUGUUCUCUAGAGCCAGUUGGGCUUUGAUCUAUUCCCAGAGCCUCAGACGGCGUCUCCGUUAAGAAGAGAAUGGAGUGGAGUGGCAGGGGGAGGUGGCCCUGGCCUGGUUCCCCAGCCUUGCCUGGAGAGACCCUGCCGCCUCUUGCUUUAGAGAUGGAGUCCCUCUGCUCUCCUCCCCUGCCUUGCUUCUGGACCACAUCCAUCCUCCUAGGGCCUGAGCCUUUCCAAGAAUCACUUACCUCUACUAGGAGGCCCUCAAGAGUAGUGGACGGGAACAUCCCACCAGGAGGGACUCAAGCCAGGACCGAGGUUCCUCGGUCCUGGCCUUAGACUCUCCCGGAUGGAGCAGCGUCUGAAGGCAAAGAGUGGAAGGCAAUGGGGAGUUGGUAAGAAGUCACCACUGGUGGAAAAGCUACUCAGCCCUUUCCCUCUGGUUGCGGCAACUGUUCUUGGCCAUUAACUCUCAGUCACUCAGGGAGUUUUCAGGUGGAGCUAGAAGGAUCUAGAAGCUACAUGUACACUUAUUUCACAGACCCCAUCUAAUGUCUGCCCGGAGACACGGCUCCUUUCUAAGGGCCCUUCCAGUAACUACAUUUGUUGAGCAUCUGAGAGGCACUGGGUAUCGCCUUCUCAGCUGUGCUAGUCAGGACAGGCUGGGUUAUGCUGCAGAGACAAGCACCCAGUUGUUGGUGACUUAAGCCAGUGAGAGUCCAUGGGUCUUGUCACUGGCGGAGGGUCCAGCGUGGGCAUCGCCAUCAGAUGGCUCUGCUGGCCGGCUCUCCUCCGGGAGGCCACUCAGGGGUCCGGCUCCUUCUUACUCAGUUUAGGCUCUGCUGGCCUUGAGACCCUUGCCGUCUUCCAGGCCUUAGAGCCCUUCAAGUCCUCCUCGGGGCCUUCUGCACCCAGCCAGCCAACCAACAAGGGGUGCCUGGGGAGGGUCCAGGGGCCGGGCCUGCCAGUGGCAAAUCUCACUUCCGCCACAUUCCACUGGCCAGAGCUUGUCCCAUGGCCCUGCCCAGGUAUGAGGGCCAUGCCCAGGAGGAGCCUGAAAUGUCCAAGUGGUCACUUACUG